CCUACGGGGGGCAGCAGUGGGGAAUAUUGCGCAAUGGGGGAAACCCUGACGCAGCGACGCCGCGUGAGCGAUGAAGGCCUUCGGGUUGUAAAGCUCUGUCUUCCCUGACGAUAAUGACGGUAAGGGAGGAGGAAGCCACGGCUAAGUACGUGCUAGCAGCCGCGGUAAUGCGUAGGUGGCAAGCGUUGUCAGGAAUGAUUGGGCGUAAAGGGUUCGUAGGGGGGUCUUGCAGUGGGUUGUGAAAUCCCUAGGCUCAACCUAGGAACUGCAUUCCAAACUGGGGAGCUAGAGUGCAGGAGAGGAAAGAGGAAUUCCCAGUGUAGCGGUGAAAUGCGUAGAGAUUGGGAGGAACACCAGUGGCGAAGGCGGCUUUCUGGACUGUAACUGACGCUGAGGCACGAAAGCGUGGGGAGUAAACAGGAUUAGAUACCCGGGUAGUC
This 440-nucleotide ribosomal RNA is filed under the name uncultured bacterium. Its description in RNAcentral is "bacterial SSU rRNA". It matches the Rfam family "Bacterial small subunit ribosomal RNA", at positions 338 to 795 of the family's 1533-position model. The record is from RNAcentral.